This 238-nucleotide ribosomal RNA is filed under the name uncultured bacterium. RNAcentral describes it as "partial 16S ribosomal RNA". It matches the Rfam family "Bacterial small subunit ribosomal RNA", at positions 96 to 334 of the family's 1533-position model. The record is from RNAcentral.
UGGCGGACGGGGGAGUAACGCGUGGGUAACCUGCCUUGUACUGGGGGACAACAGUUAGAAAUGACUGCUAAUACCGCAUAAGCGCACAGUAUCGCAUGAUACGGUGUGAAAAACUCCGGUGGUACAAGAUGGACCCGCGUCUGAUUAGCUAGUUGGUAAGGUAACGGCUUACCAAGGCGACGAUCAGUAGCCGACCUGAGAGGGUGACCGGCCACAUUGGGACUGAGACACGGCCCAA